GACGAACGCUGGCGGCGUGCUUAACACAUGCAAGUCGAACGGAAAGGCCCUGCUUUUGUGGGUUGCUCGAGUGGCGAACGGGUGAGUAACACGUGAGUAACCUGCCCUUGACUUUGGGAUAACUCCAGGAAACUGGGGCUAAUACCGGAUAGGAGCUCCUGCUGCAUGGUGGGGGUUGGAAAGUUUCGGCCGUUGGGGAUGUACUCGCGGCUUAUCAGCUUGUUGGGGGGGUAGUGGCUUACCAAGGCUUUGAGGGGUAGCCGGCCUGAGAGGGUGACCGGGCACAUGGGGACUGAGAGACGGCCCAGAAGCCUACGGGAGGCAGUAGGGGAGAAUAUGGCACAACGGGGGGAAGCCUGUGACAGCAGCGCCGGGUGCGGGAAGACGGGUUUCGGGUGGUAAACCGCUUUGGCCUGUGACGAAGCGUGAGUGACGGUAAUGGGUAAAGAAGCACCGGCUAACUACGUG
RNAcentral lists this ribosomal RNA (468 nucleotides) under uncultured bacterium. Its description in RNAcentral is "partial 16S ribosomal RNA". It matches the Rfam family "Bacterial small subunit ribosomal RNA", at positions 28 to 507 of the family's 1533-position model. The record is from RNAcentral.